Molecule: ribosomal RNA, 60 nt
Filed under: Cordyceps farinosa
Lineage: Eukaryota; Fungi; Ascomycota; Sordariomycetes; Hypocreales; Cordycipitaceae
Also listed under: 2 other names
Description: partial 28S large subunit ribosomal RNA
Rfam family: Eukaryotic large subunit ribosomal RNA
Source: RNAcentral
CGUUGACCUCGGAUCAGGUAGGAAUACCCGCUGAACUUAAGCAUAUCAAUAAGCGGAGGA